RNAcentral lists this ribosomal RNA (551 nucleotides) under uncultured bacterium. RNAcentral describes it as "bacterial SSU rRNA". It matches the Rfam family "Bacterial small subunit ribosomal RNA", at positions 805 to 1363 of the family's 1533-position model. The record is from RNAcentral.
AACGAUGAACACUAGGUGUGGGGUGCAUAGCAUUCCGUGCCGCAGCUAACGCAAUAAGUGUUCCACCUGGGGAGUACGGCCGCAAGGUUGAAACUCAAAGGAAUUGACGGGAGCCCGCACAAGCAGUGGAGUAUGUGGUUUAAUUCGACGCAACGCGAAAAACCUUACCAAGGAUUGACAUCCCGAGAAGUCGGCGUAAUGGCUGAUGUGCCUCUUCGGAGGAACUCGGUGACAGGUGGUGCAUGGUUGUCGUCAGCUCGUGUCGUGAGAUGUUGGGUUAAGUCCCGCAACGAGCGCAACCCUUACCGUCAGUUGCUACGCAAGAGCACUCUGGCAGGACUGCCGUUGACAAAACGGAGGAAGGUGGGGACGACGUCAAAUCAUCAUGCCCCUUAUAUCUUGGGCUACACACGUACUACAAUGGCGCAAACAAAGAGCAGCGACCCCGCGAGGGCGAGCAAAUCUCAUAAAAGGCGUCCCAGUUCGGACUGCAGGCUGCAACUCGCCUGCACGAAGUGGAAUGCUAGUAAUCGCGAAUCAGUCAGCGCGAU